Molecule: long non-coding RNA, 3047 nt
Filed under: Vigna radiata
Lineage: Eukaryota; Viridiplantae; Streptophyta; Magnoliopsida; Fabales; Fabaceae
Description: long non-coding RNA (VRAD_LNC001654)
Source: RNAcentral
AAUUAUCUUGGAAGCACCAGUGAGUCUAGCUCCCUUGGCAGCCUACAGAAAAUGUAAAAACAAAAAAUUUACAAAAAUUUCCUUUAAUUUUGAAAGAGGCAAGGCAACUCAAAGCAAGUCCCAAAGCUCCCAAUCCAAAUAUAGCUAAUGAUGAACCUUUCCUUGGUUUUGCAACUUUCAAUGUAGCAUCAAGACCUUCAAUAAGAAAACCAAUGAUAUAGUUAAUUGAAAGAGAAAGUUUACAAAUGACUAAAAGAGCAUAAUGUAGUUAUUUUAGCCUGUUGAGAUUCCACAGCUCAGAAACUUUUUGUUGCGUGUAGCCAUACCAAAUUUGACUCCAAUAACCACCCCAUCUAAAAGACUUUAAGGGAGGAUUAUCUUCCAUUACUUUUGCAAUCAAUUACAAUGCUUGAUGAUAUAAACCUUAAAGUUACAGUCAUUACUUGUUAACUCAUACACGAAGAAAACAUAGUUCAAUUCGAGGGUCUGUCACAGCUAAACGUAAAACCUUAAACCCUAGAAUAUCCAAAGGCACCUGUAAACUAAACAACAAAAGCAAAUAACACAUUCGACACGCCGAGAACAUGAAAGAGAAAAAAAAUGCAUUGCAUGAAAUGAAAAUGCAGACCAGCAGAAACACGAAAUCAAAGUACCUCAUCGCUGUGAAAAACCAAUCUUCUUUAAUUACCAUAGUUUAUGCGAAUGUUUGGUAAUGUAUAUUACUAGGAAGCAUAAUCAAAUCAUAUACAUGUGAAUAAUAUUGAAAGUUGUAAAGUAGCCUCAUGAACACUNAUGUAUUUCUCUGACAAUUGAUUUCAGGCUNGAUGAGGCNAUUGAAAUUCUUGAAAACAUUGUGAUAAUGAGGGAAGAAAAGCUUGGGACUGCAAAUCCUGAUGUUGCUGAUGNGAAGAGAAGGUUGAAGGAGUUGUUGAAGGAAACAGGNAAAGUUCGGAACAGAAAAACCAAGUCGCCNGAGAACCUUUUUGAUCNUGAUUAUAUAUNACUAUAGCUAGAUAGAUGUGGUAUGAAAAGGUCCCUGCUUUACAGGAAUUCUAGAAAUGGAACAACAGUAGUUUAUGUGGGUAAAAAUCAAAUGGAAUGAAUAAUCAAGAGUUUAAAUGCUGAAUAUUUGUCCAAACCUCCACUACUAAUUGUAGAUACCAUGUAACUAUUUACUUUAGUUGGAUGGAUAUGCAUUGUUUUUUGUAUAGAACAUUAUUUUCUUCCUUCCAUUUCACAUUUAUGUUUAUUAUCAUUUUACCAAAAUUAUGUCAGAAAAAGUAUAAUUAAAUGAUUUUCAAUUCUUAGCAUAAAAAUUUGCAUUAAUAAAAAUUUUCAUUUUACUAAAAUUAUGUCAGAAAAAGUAUAAUUGAAGAACUAAAUCCAAUAAUCUCACCCAAUUCUUAGCAUUUAUAAUAACAUUAAAUUCUGCAGUUUGUAGACAAUUUCCAUAGCCUUACCAUUGCUGAAAUUUUAGUACAUGUUAUGCCACAUGAUUUUUCAUUAUUAAUAUUCUUAAUAAGGUAUCUCAACAUUUAACAUUUCCUCCUUACAAAGGACACACAAUAUUGUUUAUUUAGCAUAAUAUAAUUUGAAUUAAAAAUAAGAGGAAGAAUAGGAAUUAGAUUAACUUUAUGCAGCUUUGCGGCCCAUAACCACAAUCAGUUUUCUAUGCCAUAUAGAGGAAAUAUAGAAAAAUGACUAGAUUUUAACCAUAUGAGUCUAACAUUAACAGAUAAAACCUCAAAUAAGGCGGAAAAAUGUUGAUGAAGCAAUUAGCACUAACAUAGUAAUGAGGCAACAAACCAUUGGACAAAAAAAUGAUCAAGUAACAAAACACCUUCCAAAAUAAAGGAAAAAUAAAGCAUUACAAAAAUUAAACAUCACCACUUAAAUACUUCAACACACAUAUUUCUAGACUGUUCUAGUUUAUUGACAUAAGUGGUAAUAAUUCAUAUAUGAGAUUGGCAACAAAAGGAUUUUAGAAGGCUAAAUAGAUGGUAACCUUCGUUUAAUCCAGCAACUAUUAAGACAAAGUCAAGAUAUAUACAACAAAGAAACACACCACUUGUAGAGAGCACCAUUUCUUAUUCCACCCAUGCCAUUGGAUAUAACAUCGAGGUUGAUAGCUCUAGCAGUCAUAGAAGGAAACAUCUAUGCCCAUCGAUUCUAUUCAAAGAAGUAACCAAUUAAAACAAGAUAUUAAACAUAUCAAAGGUCAUUAAUUAAAGAUCAAAAUAACCAAAUCAAAGUGUUGUAGUGCUAACCUACAGUAUAUGAUUGGUACAAGUUGUAGUUCUAACCUACAUAUAACAAUCCAAUAACAUUUUUUCAAUUUUAUUAAAGACAAAGGCUUCAAAACCAUUGGAAUCGCAUUCUUCAAAUUCCAUUAUUUGUUUCCAUUUGUGCCCCCAUUUCCGUUUAAACCAUUGGAAACAAAAACUAAACUUACACUCUGACUUCAAAAAUCACAUGAAUGUUUGCAUUUAAAAAUGAAAAAAAUAAAUAAAUAAAACAUAUAGCAGCAUCACACUCACAGUUUUAUCGAACUAGGGUUUAUCUGAAGAAGGCUUGGAUUGAUUGGAAGGCUUGAAGGGAGCGGCAUUGUUGUCCUUGUCAUGUUAUUUCAUGAACCAUUUCCUUAUAUCACUAUGCAAUUCGACAGGGAGAAAGACAAAACAUAAGGUAACAUCUUUCAAGGAGCAGAGAAAGAUAAUCGAAAUGAAAAAUAAGAACCCUAACUUACCAUUCCUAUUUAGGGCGGGAGAACAUAAAGUUCCCACCAAAAAUAGGUCAAUGUAACAAUAACCACAAAAAACGAAAAACCAAAACAACUGCAAUGUUUCGAUUACUCACUGCAUUCAAUCCUCAACGACAAAUCAAAUGUGGUUGUAGACAAAUCGCGAUACCAACGCUAAUGAACAAUCGGUGAUGGCAACACGAGCAAAUUGCUGAUGCGACACUGCAACUCAGUUGUGUGAGCUUCUAUGAUUGGGAGAGUCGAAGGGAAGUUUUUGUGACUGACUCUGUGAGCAAGAGGGAAAAUG